RNAcentral lists this ribosomal RNA (346 nucleotides) under uncultured bacterium. RNAcentral's name for it is "partial 16S ribosomal RNA". It matches the Rfam family "Bacterial small subunit ribosomal RNA", at positions 338 to 681 of the family's 1533-position model. The record is from RNAcentral.
CCUACGGGAGGCAGCAGUGAGGAAUAUUGGUCAAUGGGCGCGAGCCUGAACCAGCCAAGUAGCGUGAAGGAUGACUGCCCUACGGGUUGUAAACUUCUGUUAUAAAGGAAUAAAGUGAGGCACGUGGGCCUUUUUGUAUGUACGUUAUGAAUAAGGAUCGGCUAACUCCGUGCCAGCAGCCGCGGUAAUACGGAGGAUCCGAGCGUUCUCCGGAUUUAUUGGGUUUAAAGGGAGCGUAGAUGGGUUGUUAAGUAAGUUGUGAACGUUUGCGGCUCAACCGUAAAAUUGCAAUUGAUACUGGCAGUCUUUCGUACAGUUGAGGUCGGCGGAAUUCGUGGUGUAGCGG